GUUACACGUUAGCUGCUCCCAAUAUAUCAGAAGUAGACUGCUAAAUCUUUUGACCCAAAGCAAAUUAUGAACACCUCUAGCCAGGGAUCCAGAAAAAUCCAAGAUUCAAGGUCCAAUGAAACAAGUAUAAACAAUACACAUAAAUGAAUGGAAGCAUCCUGACUCCAAAGCUUGUAAUCUAAUCAGCUCUCACAGGAAUGUGGGUCUCACCAGUACAAAAUUCAAUUAUCACCAAGGUGACAUGGACUAUCAGUGUUAGAAAGCAAGCUUCAUUCACCAUUCCUCAUCCCACCCAUGCCAUAUUCCACUAUCAGGUCUGUAAAAUCAAGGGCUGUGGCUUCAGCCUGCGUAUCUGCCAGUCUGGGUAGUGUGGGGAUGGGGAGUGGGAAGUAGGACUGAGUCCCUAAGGAGAAAGCAAGCUGGCAGAGCCACAAUCUGUGAUGCCUGUGGGAGUGCUGAGCCUUUAUGAUUUCCUGUGUUCUGGUUGUCCUGGUAACCUGAGGCCUCCCUAUUUGUGUUGGCAUCAUAGGGCCAAGAGCGGAAGCAAAGCUGGAGCCCCAGGAAGACUUGCAGGAAAAAAUGUGGGUAAUGCAGUAGUUAUGUCACUGGAGGGUCAAGGCUAGGGCACAAGAAUUACCUGGUUAGGGUGGCGCAGGGUGGGCUAUGGUAGGGUCUUGUAAAUAUCACACUUCCAGAUUCUACUUCCAACAUUUCUGAUUCAGGAGAGAAAAAGUAUAGCCAUCACUUUCAGAAAGCCGAUAUUCUGGCACAGUAGUUCUCAACACAGGGGUGGGGGGUGAGGCAGGAUUUUGCCUUCCAGGGUACAUCUGGUAAUGUCUGAAGACAUUUUUGGUUGUCACAACUGAGAAGUUACCUCUAACAUCUAGUGGGGAGCGGCCAGGGAUGCUGCCAAACAUCCUACAGUACACAGGAAGGUCUCCCACAACAAAAGACUAUCCAGCCCAAGAUGUCAGUGCCGUGGUUGAGAGGAUACUCUGCCCUGCAACUCCAUCACCCCCAAUCCACAGAAAUCAGCGCUCCACACACAGAUUUAGGGCACGGCAGAGACUUACGUGAGGUUCCUGCAAAAAUCUGAGACCUCAAAAAUGAAUUUUUAAAAAAAUAGUGAAUAUUAUUAAAGAUAUGAAUAAGGAGGAGAAGAGAACAAGAGACAAAAAAGGGAGGUAGGUAUGGCUAACAAUGGUGAGCCAAAAGGGAAACAACGGAGGACAAAGCACUGGGUGACAACAGAAGCAAAUGAAUGCCACUUCCUCUGUGGGUAUGGCCUAUCCAUAUGGAGAAGACUGGUAAAGAGAAGCUAAAC
Molecule: long non-coding RNA, 1324 nt
Filed under: Equus asinus (donkey)
Lineage: Eukaryota; Metazoa; Chordata; Mammalia; Perissodactyla; Equidae
Description: lncRNA (ENSEASG00005033249.1, ENSEASG00020022100.1)
Source: RNAcentral